RNAcentral lists this non-coding RNA (30 nucleotides) under Homo sapiens (human). Lineage: Eukaryota; Metazoa; Chordata; Mammalia; Primates; Hominidae. The record is from RNAcentral.
UAGUUAGAGAGACAGACUCACUGAUAGACA